GGAUAGAAUUUACUUUGUGUGGGGCAGCGAAGCUGAGGCUUCCUCAUCGGAGAUACGAAAUCAAACUUGAACUCGAACUGCGAAUGCAAACGACGAAACGCAACGAAAGUAAAGAAAGCGUAAUCAGAAAUUAUAAAAUUAAAAAAAAUAGUGAGUGAAAGAGUAUGGUGCCCCAAUAAAUUUCCCAAUUUUUACCUCUUCAACCAUCCUCAAAGUGAAAAAGAGACCCCUUUUAUAGGCAAAAAUAGAACGGCUCCUUGGAGGAGCAUUGAGAAUUUGAAAUUUGAAUUAAAAAAAGUGAUAGUUUAGUGAAGAAAAAUCAUCUUUUCAGAAGAGAUUUGAAAGUUUGAGACUUUUAUAGAAAUUUUGAUAUAGUAGGCUUGAGUUUUUCAAGAAAGGCAAGCUCUUUGUCAAUCAAGAAUGGCCCAAAGACCAUUGAACCUCUAGCUACUCCUUUUCAGAGGUUUGCAGUGAAGGAGGAGAGAAGCUCUCGGAUGUUCACCAUUGUUUGGUGGUUUGCAGUGAAGGAGGAGAGAAGCUCUCGGAUGUUCACCAUUGUUUGGUGGUUUGAGGGUGGUUCGGUGUUGUUGGUUGAUGUUGUUUGAUAGAAAUUGGGUUGUUGUUCCUUGC
RNAcentral lists this long non-coding RNA (630 nucleotides) under Capsicum annuum. RNAcentral's name for it is "long non-coding RNA (CANN_LNC016453)". The record is from RNAcentral. Lineage: Eukaryota; Viridiplantae; Streptophyta; Magnoliopsida; Solanales; Solanaceae.